GACGAACGCUGGCGGCGUGCCUAAUACAUGCAAGUAGAACGCUGAAGGCGGAGCUUGCUCUUCUGGAUGAGUUGCGAACGGGUGAGUAACGCGUAGGUAACCUGCCUGGUAGCGGGGGAUAACUAUUGGAAACGAUAGCUAAUACCGCAUAAGAGUAGAUGUUGCAUGACAUUUGCUUAAAAGGUGCAAUUGCAUCACUACCAGAUGGACCUGCGUUGUAUUAGCUAGUUGGUGGGGUAACGGCUCACCAAGGCGACGAUACAUAGCCGACCUGAGAGGGUGAUCGGCCACACUGGGACUGAGACACGGCCCAGACUCCUACGGGAGGCAGCAGUAGGGAAUCUUCGGCAAUGGACGGAAGUCUGACCGAGCAACGCCGCGUGAGUGAAGAAGGUUUUCGGAUCGUAAAGCUCUGUUGUAAGAGAAGAACGAGUGUGAGAGUGGAAAGUUCACACUGUGACGGUAUCUUACCAGAAAGGGACGGCUAACUACGUG
This 495-nucleotide ribosomal RNA is filed under the name uncultured bacterium. Its description in RNAcentral is "partial 16S ribosomal RNA". It matches the Rfam family "Bacterial small subunit ribosomal RNA", at positions 28 to 507 of the family's 1533-position model. The record is from RNAcentral.